UCCCGUGUGGCUCAGUUGGUAGAGCAUGGUGUUUACAACGCCAGGGUUGUGGGUUUAAUUCCCACAGGGGGCA
This 73-nucleotide transfer RNA is filed under the name Salmo salar (Atlantic salmon). It matches the Rfam family "tRNA". From Rfam's summary of the family: Transfer RNA (tRNA) molecules are approximately 80 nucleotides in length. Their secondary structure includes four short double-helical elements and three loops (D, anti-codon, and T loops). The record is from Rfam by way of RNAcentral. Lineage: Eukaryota; Metazoa; Chordata; Actinopteri; Salmoniformes; Salmonidae.